Molecule: ribosomal RNA, 433 nt
Filed under: uncultured bacterium
Lineage: Bacteria
Description: partial 16S ribosomal RNA
Rfam family: Bacterial small subunit ribosomal RNA
Source: RNAcentral
AACGAACGCUGGCGGCAUGCCUAACACAUGCGAGUCGAACGAGACCUUCGAGUCUAGUGGCGCACGGGUGCGUAACGCGUGGGAACCUGCCCUUAGGUUCGGAAUAACUCCCCGAAAGGGGUGCUAAUACCGGAUAAUGUCUUCGGACCAAAGAUUUAUCGCCUUUGGAUGGGCCCGCGUUGGAUUAGCUAGUUGGUAGGGUAAAAGCCUACCAAGGCGACGAUCCAUAGCUGGUCUGAGAGGAUGAUCAGCCACACUGGGACUGAGACACGGCCCAGACUCCUACGGGAGGCAGCAGUGGGGAAUAUUGGACAAUGGGCGAAAGCCUGAUCCAGCAAUGCCGCGUGAGUGAUGAAGGCCUUAGGGUUGUAAAGCUCUUUUACCCGGGAUGAUAAUGACAGUACCGGGAGAAUAAGCGCCGGCUAACUCCGUG